GUGCCCGUAGCUCAAUUGGAUAGAGUAUCAGAUUCCGAUUCUGACGGUUGCAGGUUCGAUCCCUGUCGGGUGCGCCA
Molecule: transfer RNA, 77 nt
Filed under: Clostridioides difficile
Lineage: Bacteria; Bacillati; Bacillota; Clostridia; Peptostreptococcales; Peptostreptococcaceae
Also listed under: 22 other names
Description: tRNA-Arg
Rfam family: tRNA
About the family: Transfer RNA (tRNA) molecules are approximately 80 nucleotides in length. Their secondary structure includes four short double-helical elements and three loops (D, anti-codon, and T loops).
Source: RNAcentral